AACGCUAGCUACAGGCUUAACACAUGCAAGUCGAGGGGAAACGACAUCGAAAGCUUGCUUUUGAUGGGCGUCGACCGGCGCACGGGUGAGUAACGCGUAUCCAACCUGCCCACCACUUGGGGAUAACCUUGCGAAAGUAAGACUAAUACCCAAUGAUAUCCCACGAAGGCAUCCGAAUGGGAUUAAAGAUUUAUCGGUGAUGGAUGGGGAUGCGUCUGAUUAGCUUGUUGGCGGGGUAACGGCCCACCAAGGCUACGAUCAGUAGGGGUUCUGAGAGGAAGGUCCCCCACAUUGGAACUGAGACACGGUCCAAACUCCUACGGGAGGCAGCAGUGAGGAAUAUUGGUCAAUGGGCGAGAGCCUGAACCAGCCAAGUAGCGUGCAGGAUGACGGCCCUAUGGGUUGUAAACUGCUUUUAUAAGGGAAUAAAGUGAGUCUCGUGAGACUUUUUGCAUGUACCUUAUGAAUAAGGACCGGCUAAUUCCGUGCCAGCAGCCGCGGUAAUACGGAAGGUCCGGGCGUUAUCCGGAUUUAUUGGGUUUAAAGGGAGCGUAGGCCGGAGAUUAAGCGUGUUGUGAAAUGUAGUGGCUCAACCUCUGCACUGCAGCGCGAACUGGUCUUCUUGAGUACGCACAACGUGGGCGGAAUUCGUGGUGUAGCGGUGAAAUGCUUAGAUAUCACGAAGAACUCCGAUUG
This 696-nucleotide ribosomal RNA is filed under the name uncultured bacterium. RNAcentral's name for it is "bacterial SSU rRNA". It matches the Rfam family "Bacterial small subunit ribosomal RNA", at positions 32 to 715 of the family's 1533-position model. The record is from RNAcentral.